RNAcentral lists this unclassified non-coding RNA (136 nucleotides) under soil metagenome. Its description in RNAcentral is "partial internal transcribed spacer 1". The record is from RNAcentral.
CCUAGAGUUGUAGGCUUUGCCUGCUAUCUCUUACCCAUGUCUUUGAGUACCUCGUUUCCCUCGGCGGGUCCGCCCGCCGAUUGGACAAUUUAAACCAUUUGCAGUUGCAAUCAGCGUCUGAAAAACUUAAUAGUUA